Molecule: ribosomal RNA, 1393 nt
Filed under: uncultured bacterium
Lineage: Bacteria
Description: bacterial SSU rRNA
Rfam family: Bacterial small subunit ribosomal RNA
Source: RNAcentral
AGUUUGAUCAUGGCUCAGGACGAACGCUGGCGGCGUGCUUAACACAUGCAAGUCGAACGAUGAAGCCUAGCUUGCUAGGUGGAUUAGUGGCGAACGGGUGAGUAAUACGUGAGUAACCUACCUUUAACUCUGGGAUAAGCCUGGGAAACUGGGUCUAAUACCGGAUACGACCAAUCUCCGCAUGGGGUGUUGGUGGAAAGCGUUAUGUAGUGGUUAUAGAUGGGCUCACGGCCUAUCAGCUUGUUGGUGAGGUAACGGCUCACCAAGGCGACGACGGGUAGCCGGCCUGAGAGGGUGACCGGCCACACUGGGACUGAGACACGGCCCAGACUCCUACGGGAGGCAGCAGUGGGGAAUAUUGCACAAUGGGCGCAAGCCUGAUGCAGCGACGCCGCGUGAGGGAUGACGGCCUUCGGGUUGUAAACCUCUGUUAGCAGGGAAGAAGAGAGAUUGACGGUACCUGCAGAGAAAGCGCCGGCUAACUACGUGCCAGCAGCCGCGGUAAUACGUAGGGCGCGAGCGUUGUCCGGAAUUAUUGGGCGUAAAGAGCUUGUAGGCGGUUUGUCGCGUCUGCUGUGAAAGGCCGGAGCUUAACUCCGUGUAUUGCAGUGGGUACGGGCAGACUAGAGUGCAGUAGGGGAGACUGGAAUUCCUGGUGUAGCGGUGGAAUGCGCAGAUAUCAGGAGGAACACCGAUGGCGAAGGCAGGUCUCUGGGCUGUAACUGACGCUGAGAAGCGAAAGCAUGGGGAGCGAACAGGAUUAGAUACCCUGGUAGUCCAUGCCGUAAACGUUGGGCGCUAGGUGUGGGGAACAUUCCACGUUUUCCGCGCCGUAGCUAACGCAUUAAGUGCCCCGCCUGGGGAGUACGGCCGCAAGGCUAAAACUCAAAGAAAUUGACGGGGGCCCGCACAAGCGGCGGAGCAUGCGGAUUAAUUCGAUGCAACGCGAAGAACCUUACCAAGGCUUGACAUAUACUGGACCGCAUCAGAGAUGGUGUUUCCCUUCGGGGCUGGUAUACAGGUGGUGCAUGGUUGUCGUCAGCUCGUGUCGUGAGAUGUUGGGUUAAGUCCCGCAACGAGCGCAACCCUCGUUCUAUGUUGCCAGCACGUUAUGGUGGGGACUCAUAGGAGACUGCCGGGGUCAAACUCGGAGGAAGGUGGGGAUGACGUCAAAUCAUCAUGCCCCUUAUGUCUUGGGCUUCACGCAUGCUACAAUGGCCGGUACAGAGGGUUGCGAUACUGUGAGGUGGAGCUAAUCCCUAAAAGCCGGUCUCAGUUCGGAUUGGGGUACUGCAAACUCGACCCCGUGAAGUCGGAGUCGCUAGUAAUCGCAGAAUCAGCAAACGCUGCGGUGAAAUACGUUUCCCGGGCCUUGCACACACCGCCCGUCAAG